Long non-coding RNA from Dromaius novaehollandiae (emu), 3163 nucleotides. RefSeq lists it as uncharacterized. The record is from RefSeq and is a predicted model, not a curated record. The transcript has 2 exons. Lineage: Eukaryota; Metazoa; Chordata; Aves; Casuariiformes; Dromaiidae.
UUCUCAGUUUUCCCACUGCAGCUGCGGGACCAAAGGGAAUAGAAAAAAAACCCUUUUAAAGAGCUGAGAUGACAAUUUCAAGUGCUGGGCACUUAGGUGAGGUGUUGUGAAACCCGAACUGCGAGAGCUCAGCGAUGCUCUCAGACCUGGGUCGCGGCAGAGGAGCGUGCUGCAGCUACCUGGCGCUGCGCUUUCUCGGCUGAAACAGGCCGUGUGAGUCAGAGCGAAAUUUUCCAUCGGGAACCUCUGCCCGGCUGCUAAGACCGAGGCUGCAGAGUGUUUUUCCCCUUGCUUGCUCGCUUGUCGCCGCCUCCUCGUGUGCAGCCCCGAGCGCCGCCGGGCCAGUCCCCCGCGCGCACGCCGGCUCUCCCUCCGGCCGGGGCCUGCCGCGUCCCCGUGAUUUAUGGCAGGAAACGUCGACUGCAGGGUAACAAAUGGCUGGGGGGGUUUUCUUCCCUUUCCCCUCCUGAUCAACUAUUGCAGUAAGACAACUUUCAGUUUUUCUUCCCUUUCCUCCCCAAUCUAUGCCUGAACCGCAAUAUUGGUUAAAAAUAUCAUCUGCGGGAAGAAAAGGGAAAUAACCGAGCACCUCAAAGCCGGCUGCCUGGGGCCGUCCUGGCGGGAGCAGCAGUGAGGACCGGCACCGGGGCCGGUAUCGGGCUGAUACCUAAUGCCGCCGCGUCGGCGUGCGAGAAUGGGGCCUUCUUCUCCAGCAGCCGAGCGUGCCGGCUCGCCGGCGUUCCCGAGUGCAGAGCACACGGCACCCGCCGCGGCCCUCCGCACGGCCCGUUGACACGCCGCUCUCGGGUUUCAUCCUGAAAAUCUGGAGCUUUGCGCUGAGCAAAUAACAUGAUCUUCUCCCUUCAUCUGGAAAGGAUAAAGACAAUCGCUGGCGCUCGGAGCGGAUCGCUCGGUCCGUCCCCCCGCCUCCCGCUCCGCUUUCUGCGCAAGCCCCAACUUGCUACCCGCAAGUCGCAACUCGCAUGUUUUCACUUGAAAACUUUAAACUGCGGGGGUGAGGAGCAAGAGCGGAGGGGAAGGAUGAGGGAGAUUAUAAAGAGGGCUGCUAGCGUAACCAGGCACGUCUGGGCGCCCCUCGCGCCCCCCGCCAGGCCGCUGCGCCCCAUCGGGGCCAAGCCUGCUCACCCCGACGACCUUACUUGCAUUUUCAGAUCCCCCCAGACCAGCUCCUACCUCUCUGCUGACCAUCACCCCGCAGCUCCAUCACUGGUCAAGUGAGCCCUGAUCCAGCCAACGCUGCUGGCGACUUGCAGGCCGGCGCUGCCCUGGAAAACCAGCCCAGCCAGCGGGAGAAAGGCCGUCCAGCGGCAAUGCGUGGUGUGGGAUGAUGCGUGGUACCCGUUUUUGGCUAGCUGGGUCGUCUGUCACUAUGAACAUCCCUCUCCUUCCCUCUCUGCUUUCUAUGGUAAGGGAGGAUUUCCUGCCCCUCCAGGCAGCACGUGAGGUUAUUCCCCUCUGCCGCGGGUUUGCAAGGAGCCGAGGCCAUGCCUCCGGUGGGAAACACCUGGAGCAACACGGAGCAUCUCCAUCCAUGCCUUCUCCACCACCCGUGCCUGGGCUGUGCAGAAGAAACCCCCACCGCUCCCCGGCUCCGUUCGGCUGCUGCAGGCGCUUGGCACAGCGUGUCCCAGUCAUUACGGGCUGCAACGGCAAAUGGAGCUUGCAGGGCUGCUGUUUUACCACUAAAAGAGAUGAUGGAAAUCCGCAGUGCCAGGCUGUGCGGGGCCCGUGGCACGCGCUGGAAGAGGCUCCUUGCAGAUGCAACGUGGAUGGCGUCACCUUGCCCAUGGUUCCUGGUGGCAGGGCCGAGCCAGCAGCUCCUGCGCUGGAGCCAGACCGUCCCCGAGCCCCGAUGCACCCGGAGCGCUGGCAGGGAGAGGCUCAGCCCCCCGGGAACGGAGAAGACUCGCAGCCAGCUUUUGGGGCGGGCAGAGCCCAAACCCUGCAGAGAGCGUGGGCUCUGCACCUCCGGCCGGCCGUCUCUCCUGGGGGGCAGCCCCGGCCCCGGCGCUGGUGGCAGAAACACUAACGGUGGGGGAGAGUUUGGGUGGAGGCAAGAAGGAAGCGCGAGUCAGGAUUUUUCACCCUGAAACCCCCCCCAUCAGCAUUUAAACCUAAAAUGCAAGUUUCCCCUUUGCUUUUCUGCCUCCUUCCUUUCUCCUGGGGCAGGGGAGCUGCUGGGCAGGCGGGGAGAGGGGGCUGGGCAGGUCCCGCCGGCAGUGAGAGCACACGGGGGAGGUGGGAAAUUUCAGCGAAAAAUUUCCUUUUUGAGAGAGGCUACUUUUCCAUCCCUUAACAAAAUAAAAGGGGUUUUUCGUGAAAAAUUUCAGGCAGUCCCAUUGUUUCGCUGCAGCCUUUGAUUUAACUACUCGAUCAAGUAUUCGACAAAACCCUCCGUGUUUUUCAGGAGGUUUCUUAAAUCCUGCCGAGGUAUGGGAUUAUGAGGAACAACAAACGGCAAGCUGUCUCUAACCCCGCAGACUUUCUCACUCUCGUUUUCUCUCCCGCUUUGGAAUAAAAAAUGCAGUGCUCCCCGCUGAGUCCUCUUUAAAAUUCACAUUGUCUCUUCAAAUAAAGGCUGGGAGGGUGAGGUAGCGCUUUGAAACCAGAACUCAGCCCUACAUCGCAGGGCCAGAUCCUAGAGGAUUAUUCUCUCUCCGGACACUUUAUAACUUCAUGAGAACUUCGGGCCUGGCUUGUCUCGCCAGGCAAGCGGGAGCCGCCCCGGCUCCAGCGGCGGCCUUGGCCGAGGGGAUGUUAGUCGCUGGGGGAUGCCUCAGCCCACCGCGUGCAUUCGCCCCUGGAGAAUUUGAGGCCCUUUGCAAGCCGGGGCAGCAGUAACGCCCUGGGGAGCUGCAGCCUUCACCCCUGGAAAGCCCCGAGCUGAAGGAGCAGCUUGUUCCCACCAGCAGCCACCGGUGGGGCAGCGUGGCCGUGCCUUUGCUGUCUGAGGGCCUCUGGCUGGGGAAUGAAUAGAGGCCUUUUCCUCCCUCUGCUAACCUCUCGCAGGCAUUGCAUUUCACUGACAAAAGCCUACGGGCGAGGAGGGGGAGCUGGCAACUUCCUUUGCUGUUGUUUCAGUCUGUGUCUUUUCCCGAUGUUGCAAAGAGAGAAAUAAGUAUAAUAAACGAGCGUAUUCAAA